Molecule: ribosomal RNA, 1257 nt
Filed under: Triticum aestivum (bread wheat)
Lineage: Eukaryota; Viridiplantae; Streptophyta; Magnoliopsida; Poales; Poaceae
Description: partial small subunit ribosomal RNA
Source: RNAcentral
AUGAUUCUACAUCAUCUGAUGGCCCGGCAUUUAUUUGUAGUUAGUUUGUUGAUUCUUUCGCUUGUCUUUAACUCAUGCACAGCUCACUCAUGGAGGAACAAUAGUUCUCUGGAUGAUAUGGGUCCACGUUGUGAACCUUCUUCCCAUCCGUUUGGUCUGUGCAAGACAAGAGCAGCAGCUUUUGGCUAUCCAUGUGAAGAUCACAUGGUCACAACAGAAGAUGGUUAUAUUCUUAGCCUAAAGAGGAUUCCUCAUGGUGUUUCUAAGACUGAGAAUACAACGAGGAUACCGGUACUACUAUUCCACGGGCUCAUGGUGGAUAGCGUUUCUUGGGUACUGGGUACACCAAAACAAUCACUUGGAUUUAUUUUGGCAGAUGGUGGGUUUGAUGUUUGGUUUGCCAACACCCGUGGAACUAAUUCCAGCCGGAACCAUACCUCGCUCACCCCAGAUGAUCCGGAGUACUGGAAUUGGACGUGGGACCAACUUGCUGCCUAUGAUCUUCCUGCCGUGCUUCAGCAUGUCUAUGAUCACACAGGAGGCCAGAAAGUCCACUAUAUCGGUCACUCCCUGGGAACCUUGAUUAUUCUUGCAGCCUUCUCAGAGCACAGGUUACUUCAUUUAGUUCGAUCGGCUGUGUUGCUCUGCCCAAUUGCUUAUCUGUAUAAGACAAAAUCGAAACUCACCCGGCUUGCUACUCAAAUCCUCCUUGCAGAAGCAUUUCAUUUUCUAGGAUAUCGUGAGUUCAAUCCUGUUGGGCCAGUUUCACAUGAAAUUCUGCUCAUAAUAUGCGGUGACCCUGAAAUCGACUGCUACGACCUAUUUACGGCUGUUAUGGGACCGGACUGCUGCCUCAAUGCUUCAACUGUAUGUAACUUCCUGCAGCAUGCUACACAGUCCACCUCUAUCAAGAACCUUAUUCACAUGUCGCAGAUGAUCAGGUACGAAGGGGUCAGAAGGUAUGACUAUGGCAACGCCAAGGAAAACAUGAAGCAUUACAACCAGCCACGCCCCCCGCUGUACAACCUCUCAUCCAUCCCGACCCAUGUCCCCAUGUUCCUCACCCAUGGUGGUCAAGACUUCCUCGGCGAUGUCCCUGACACCAGGCACCUCCUGAACACGCUGGUCAGAACCCAUGACAGCGACAACAUGGAGGUACUGUAUGUACCCGACUACGCCCACGCUGACUUCGUGAUAGGCUAUAAUGCUCCGCAACUCGUAUACGGGCCGAUGGUCGACUUCCUUCAGCGCCACUGA